This 254-nucleotide ribosomal RNA is filed under the name uncultured bacterium. Its description in RNAcentral is "partial 16S ribosomal RNA". It matches the Rfam family "Bacterial small subunit ribosomal RNA", at positions 524 to 776 of the family's 1533-position model. The record is from RNAcentral.
UACGGGGGGAGCAAGCGUUGUUCGGAUUUACUGGGCGUAAAGGGCGCGUAGGCGGUCAGCACAAGUCAGUUGUGAAAUCUCCGAGCUUAACUCGGAAAGGUCAACUGAAACUGUGCGACUAGAGUGCGGAAGGGGCAACUGGAAUUCUUGGUGUAGCGGUGAAAUGCGUAGAUAUCAAGAGGAACACCUGCGGCGAAGGCGGGUUGCUGGGCCGACACUGACGCUGAAGCGCGAAAGCCAGGGGAGCGAACAGG